UCCGUAGGUGAACCUGCGGAAGGAUCAUUAUUGAAUACGUUUGGUUCUGAUGCUGGCUCUUCACUGAGCAUGUGCUCGAUCCAUAACUAUUUAUCUUCUCUUGUGCACCUUUUGUAGUCUUUCAAAGAAGUGAUAACUCCUCGCAGCAAUGCGGUUUGGGGGACUUGGGCGUGAGCCCCUUCCCCUGCUUUUGCUUUUUCUGAAGGGCUAUGUUUUCAUAUACACUAUAAAGUUACAGAAUGUCUUUUAAAGAUUGUGCUAGUCGCAGUCAUUAAACCUAUACAACUUUCAGCAACGGAUCUCUUGGCUCUUCCAUCGAUGAAGAACGCAGCGAAAUGCGAUAAGUAAUGUGUAUUGCAGAAUUCAGUGAAUCAUCGAAUCUUUGAAUGCACCUUGCGCCCUUUGGUAUUCCGAAGGGCAUGCCUGUUUGAGUGUCAUUAAAUUCUCAACCCAAAAAGCUUUUACUAGCUCUUUUGUGGCUUGGAUGUGGGGGUUUUUGCUGGCUUCCUUCAGUGGAUGGUCUGCUCCCCUUAAAUACAUUAGUGGGAUCUCUUGUGGACCGUCACUUGGUGUGAUAUUAUCUAUGCCAGUUGACUUUGAAGCAAAACUUAUGGGAACCCGCUCAUAACCGUCUUCGGACAACUUAUUGACAUUUUGACCUCAAAUCAGGUAGGACUACCCGCUGAACUUAAGCAUAUC
RNAcentral lists this ribosomal RNA (699 nucleotides) under uncultured Mycena. Its description in RNAcentral is "eukaryotic LSU rRNA". The stretch from base 284 to 437 matches the Rfam family "5.8S ribosomal RNA". Lineage: Eukaryota; Fungi; Basidiomycota; Agaricomycetes; Agaricales; Tricholomataceae. The record is from RNAcentral.